GCCAUGCAUGUGUAAGUAUAAAUAUUCUACUUUGAAACUGCGAAUGGUUCAUUAUAUCAGUUAUAGUUUAUUGAUGAAAUGUACUACUUGGAUUACCGGUAGAAUUCUAGAGGUAAUACCUGAUCUAUUCCUCCACUUUGAAGAGGUGGAUUUAUUAAAAUGAAAACCAAUAGACUUUGGCUGUUUGUGAGUAAUAAUUACUCGUCCUAUUCCAUGCUUGUGAUAGCGAUGUGUCUUUUCAGUUUCUGGCCCAUCCACUUUCCAUGGGAAGGGAUUGGACUACCAUUGCAGUAACGGGUAACGAAGAAUUUGGGUUCCAAUUCCGAAAAGGAACCUGGAAAAAGGCUACCACCUCCAAGGGAGGGAACAGGGGCCGAAAUUACCCCAUCCUGGCCCUGGGAAGGAAUGGCCAUAAAUCACAAUGCGGAACCUUUGAUUUGUGCUUGUGUAGUGAACACCGCGCAACACUUAUCUCUAUACACUUGUGGGGCAAGUCUGGGGCCACCACCCGCGGUAAUUCCACAUCUCCAAUAGCGUAUA
RNAcentral lists this ribosomal RNA (540 nucleotides) under Blastocystis sp. subtype 10. RNAcentral's name for it is "partial small subunit ribosomal RNA". It matches the Rfam family "Eukaryotic small subunit ribosomal RNA", at positions 48 to 603 of the family's 1831-position model. The record is from RNAcentral. Lineage: Eukaryota; Bigyra; Opalinata; Blastocystidae.